CCCUUAGUAACGGCGAGCGAAAAGGGAAGAGUCCAGCGCCAAGUCUUGACGCCAAAGCGUUCAAGAGAUGCGGCGUUAAUGUAUUAUCGCAUCGUACAUUGUUACCUGUUUCAAGUUCCCUUGACAGGGACAUCCAUAGCGGGUGCUAGGCCCAUAGAGGCAGGAAACCAGUGUGCGCAGAUAAUGCAUUCUAGAGUCAGGUUGCUUGAGAGUGCAGCUUAAAGUGGGUGGUAAACUCCAUCUAAGGCUAAAUAUGACAGCGAGACCGAUAGCAAACAAGUACCGUGAGGGAAAGUUGCAAAGCACUUUGAAGAGAGAGUUCAACAGUACGUGAAACCACUGGGAGGCAAACAGAUGGAACCACGAAGUUGCGCCUCGCUCGAUUCAAUCAUUGAUACUGGUUACCGGUUCUUGUGUGGAUCUUUUCGGAGAUUAGCAAGUGUCGUGGAACUGGUUUCAAUGGUGCAUUUCGUGUGAGGAUGCUAAGCCACGUUCGAUUAGAGUUGGGACGGCCGUAGGACAGAAUUCGAGGAAGGUGACCGGAAAGUGCUUGCAUUUUUCGGUGUUAUAGCCUUGAAUUGGUACCGUCGCCUAACAAACUGAUCGAUAGAAAUUCUCCUUAGGAGUUAAACUGUGUCUGCCUGURACCAUUAGUCAACAUUUCGAAGUGUUCUUUACGUAUCUUUGGUGCGGAAAGGCAUUUCAACAAUGUUGGUUAGUGGUUGUUUGCGUGACAUGGUGGAACUGUGGCGCGAGUAGGUCGGUUUCCCUCUGACCC
RNAcentral lists this ribosomal RNA (778 nucleotides) under Analges aff. passerinus A MD-2020. RNAcentral's name for it is "partial large subunit ribosomal RNA". Lineage: Eukaryota; Metazoa; Arthropoda; Arachnida; Sarcoptiformes; Analgidae. The record is from RNAcentral.